GCCCGGCUAGCUCAGUCGGUAGAGCAUGAGACUCUUAAUCCCAGGGUAUGGGUCGAGGCCACACGUUAGGGCA
RNAcentral lists this transfer RNA (73 nucleotides) under Drosophila gunungcola (fruit fly). RNAcentral's name for it is "tRNA-OTHER". Lineage: Eukaryota; Metazoa; Arthropoda; Insecta; Diptera; Drosophilidae. The record is from RNAcentral.